Small nucleolar RNA from Xenia sp. Carnegie-2017, 73 nucleotides. The record is from RefSeq and is a predicted model, not a curated record. Lineage: Eukaryota; Metazoa; Cnidaria; Anthozoa; Malacalcyonacea; Xeniidae.
UUUGUUGAUGAUGAAAUGAUUGUCGCCCCAGUCUGAUUCACCUUGACUGAUUGACAUGUCAUUCUGAAACAUA